AGUGAACGCUGGCGGUAGGCCUAACACAUGCCAGUCGAACGGCAGCACAGUAAGAGCUUGCUCUUACGGGUGGCGAGUGGCGGACGGGUGAGGAAUACAUCGGAAUCUACUUUUUCGUGGGGGAUAACGUAGGGAAACUUACGCUAAUACCGCAUACGACCUACGGGUGAAAGCAGGUGAUCUUCGGACCUUGCGCGAUUGAAUGAGCCGAUGUCGGAUUAGCUAGUUGGCGGGGUAAAGGCCCACCAAGGCGACGAUCCGUAGCUGGUCUGAGAGGAUGAUCAGCCACACUGGAACCGAGACACGGUCCAGACUCCUACGGGAGGCAGCAGUGGGGAAUAUUGGACAAUGGGCGCAAGCCUGAUCCAGCCAUACCGCGUGGGUGAAGAAGGACUUCGGGCUGUAAAGCCCUUUUGUUGGGAAAGAAAAGCAGCAGGUUAAUACCCCGCUGUUCUGACGGUACCCAAAGAAUAAGCACCGGCUAACUUCGUG
This 492-nucleotide ribosomal RNA is filed under the name uncultured bacterium. RNAcentral describes it as "partial 16S ribosomal RNA". It matches the Rfam family "Bacterial small subunit ribosomal RNA", at positions 29 to 507 of the family's 1533-position model. The record is from RNAcentral.